This 401-nucleotide ribosomal RNA is filed under the name uncultured bacterium. Its description in RNAcentral is "bacterial SSU rRNA". It matches the Rfam family "Bacterial small subunit ribosomal RNA", at positions 355 to 772 of the family's 1533-position model. The record is from RNAcentral.
UGAGGAAUAUUGCACAAUGGGCGCAAGCCUGAUGCAGCGACGCCGCGUGGGUGAAGAAGGAUUUCGGUCUGUAAAGCCCUUUUCUGUGUGACGAGAAUGGACGGUAGCACAGGAAUAAGUCUCGGCUAACUACGUGCCAGCAGCCGCGGUAAAACGUAGGAGGCAAGCGUUAUCCGGAGUAACUGGGCGUAAAGGGAGAGUAGGUGGUUGCGUAAGUUGGUUAUGAAAGCUCCUGGCUAAACUGGGAGAGGUUGACCAAGACUGCGCGACUUGAGUGGAGAAGAGGUAAACGGAAUUCCGCGUGUAGUGGUGAAAUGCGUAGAGAUGCGGAAGAACACCAGUGGCGAAGGCGGUUUACUGGUCUCCAACUGACACUGAACCGCGAAAGCAUGGGUAGCGAA